Molecule: non-coding RNA, 29 nt
Filed under: Homo sapiens (human)
Lineage: Eukaryota; Metazoa; Chordata; Mammalia; Primates; Hominidae
Source: RNAcentral
CCAGCAAAAGUAGGGAGGAAAGUGUCACC